Molecule: non-coding RNA, 1251 nt
Organism: Microcebus murinus (gray mouse lemur)
Lineage: Eukaryota; Metazoa; Chordata; Mammalia; Primates; Cheirogaleidae
Source: RefSeq, a predicted model, not a curated record
UAGGUCUAAUGGUUGGUUACUUGAGCUGAUGGCUCUUGUGCUUACUAAAAUAGCAUCUGUCAAUCCUGACCCAAAGACAAAAUUGUGUCUGUGUUUCCUCUUACAGUGCUAUGACUAAUUAUUAAGGUAUUAAACUUCUUUUCAACAGAUUAAGAGUUCCUGGUGAGCACAGUUAAACAAGCCAUUAGGUUGAGAACAAAAUUUUUCCACACUACAAUGACCCACUAAUGCACCAACUACUGCCACAUUCAUCAGUUAGGGGACGUGAAGAAUAGAAAAUCUGAACUAUUUUUUAUUUAUUUUUUCCUCAUUUCAAAUUGAGACCAUUUACAUACAUAAAACACAUAGGCUUUAAGUGUAUAUUUGAUAAGUUUCAACUAAUGCAUAUAUCCAUGUAACCAUAAUGCUGGCGAAGAUAGAAAACAUUUGCAUCACCACCAAGAGUUCCCCCAUGCCACCUCCAGGAAAAUCCACCUCUACCACCAAGAGGCAAUCACUGUUCUGAUUUCUAUUACAUAGAUUAGGUUUGCCUGUUCCAGAGCUUUAUGUAAAUGGAAUCAUACAGUAUGUGCUUUUUUGUAUCUGACUUCUUUCAUUCAUCAUCAAGUUUUCAAGACUUGUCCAUGUUGUGUAUAUUAUAUUUUAUUUGUUUACUAUAUGGAUAUACCACAGUUUCUUUUCUACCCUCUUUGUAAUGGACAUUUAGGUUUUUUCCAGUUUGAAGCUAUGAUGAAUAAAACUACUCUGAACAUUCUCGUUCACAUCUUUGGGUGAACAUAUGCUUCAUUUGUCAUAGGGGCAGUUUUAAGAACUCAAUCUCCAACCACUGAAGGCGUGUGAACGACCCUGCUGAGGAAAGGCAGCUGCCAUCCUACAAAGACACUCAAGAAACCCUAAGGAGAGAGACAGAGCAAGGAACUGAAGCCUCGGCCUCAGAUGACUACAGUCUCAGAUGACUACAGCCCCAGACUACUGACUGCAACCUUCUGAGAGAUCUUGAGUCAACCAUGUACCUUGAGCUUGGAAGCAGAUCUUCCAGCCUCAGUCAAUUCUCAGAUGACUACAGCAUCAUCCUGUUGAAAGCAACCCCAUGAGAGACCUUGAGCCAGGACCAUCCAAUUAAGCUGCUCCCAAAUUUCUGAUGCACAGAUAUAAUACAUGACAUAAUAAAUGUUUAAUGUGGCAAGCCACUAAGCUUGGGAGUAAUUUAUUGCACAAGAAUAGAUAACUAAUUCAGUUACAUUAAGGAAA